This 615-nucleotide ribosomal RNA is filed under the name uncultured marine bacterium. RNAcentral describes it as "bacterial SSU rRNA". It matches the Rfam family "Bacterial small subunit ribosomal RNA", at positions 94 to 744 of the family's 1533-position model. The record is from RNAcentral.
AGUGGCAGACGGGUGAGUACAUGUAGGUAUCUACCCUAUGGCCUGGAAUAACACGAGGAAACUUGUGCUAAUACCGGAUAAGUCUUUACGGAGAAAGCUUUAUGCACCAUUGGAUGAGCCUGCACUUGAUUAGUUUGUUGGUGGGGUAAUGGCCUACCAAGACUGUGAUCAAUAGCUGAUUUGAGAGGAUGAUCAGCCACAUUGGGACUGAGACACGGCCCAAACUCCUACGGGAGGCAGCAGUGGGGAAUCUUGCACAAUGGAGGAAACUCUGAUGCAGCGAUGCCGCGUGAGUGAAGAAGGCCCUUGGGUUGUAAAGCUCUUUCGUCGGGGAAGAAAAUGACUGUACCCGAAUAAGAAGGUCCGGCUAACUUCGUGCCAGCAGCCGCGGUAAUACGAAGGGACCUAGCGCAGUUCGGAAUUACUGGGCUUAAAGAGUUCGUAGGUGGUUGAAAAAGUUGGUGGUGAAAUCCCAGAGCUUAACUCUGGAACUGCCAUCAAAACUUUUCAGCUAGAGUAUGAUAGAGGAAAGCAGAAUUUCUAGUGUAGAGGUGAAAUUCGUAGAUAUUAGAAAGAAUACCCAUUGCGAAGGCAUCUUUCUGGAUCAUUACUGAC